This 281-nucleotide ribosomal RNA is filed under the name Alkalihalophilus pseudofirmus. Its description in RNAcentral is "Bacillus pseudofirmus partial 16S ribosomal RNA". It matches the Rfam family "Bacterial small subunit ribosomal RNA", at positions 1 to 270 of the family's 1533-position model. The record is from RNAcentral. Lineage: Bacteria; Bacillati; Bacillota; Bacilli; Caryophanales; Bacillaceae.
UUUUAUGGAGAGUUUGAUCCUGGCUCAGGACGAACGCUGGCGGCGUGCCUAAUACAUGCAAGUCGAGCGGACUGAUGGGAGCUUGCUCCCUGAUGUUAGCGGCGGACGGGUGAGUAACACGUGGGCAACCUGCCUGUAAGACUGGGAUAACUCCGGGAAACCGGGGCUAAUACCGGAUAACCCGUUCCACCUCAUGGUGGAGCGGUAAAAGAUGGCCUCURGCUAUCACUUACAGAUGGGCCCGCGGCGCAUUAGCUAGUUGGUAAGGUAACGGCUUACCA